Molecule: ribosomal RNA, 440 nt
Filed under: uncultured bacterium
Lineage: Bacteria
Description: partial 16S ribosomal RNA
Rfam family: Bacterial small subunit ribosomal RNA
Source: RNAcentral
CCUACGGGUGGCAGCAGUGGGGGAUAUUGCACAAUGGGGGGAACCCUGAUGCAGCGACGCCGCGUGAGCGAUGAAGUAUUUCGGGAUGUAAAGCUCUAUCAGCAGGGAAGAAAAUGACGGUAUCUGACUAAGAAGCCCCGGCUAACUACGUGCCAGCAGCCGCGGUAAUACGUAGGGGGCAAGAGUUAUCCGGAUUCACUGGGUGUAAAGGGAGCGUAGGCGGGAGUGCAAGUCAGAAGUGAAAGGCAAGGGCUCAACCUUUGGACUGCUUUGGAAACUGUGCUGCUAGAGUGUCGGAGAGGUAAGUGGAAUUCCUGGUGUAGCGGUGAAAUGCGUAGAUAUUAGGAGGAACACCAGUGGCGAAGGCGACUUGCUAGACGAUGACUGACGUUGAGGCUCGAAAGCGUGGGGAGCAAACAGGAUUAGAUACCCUGGUAGUC